UUAGGUGGCGCAUUUAUAAGCGUUAGUCUCUUAAAUUAAUAAAGAGAAAUUUAGUUAAA
RNAcentral lists this transfer RNA (59 nucleotides) under Ebrechtella tricuspidata. RNAcentral's name for it is "tRNA-Lys". Lineage: Eukaryota; Metazoa; Arthropoda; Arachnida; Araneae; Thomisidae. The record is from RNAcentral.